AGUGAACGCUGGCGGUAGGCCUAACACAUGCAAGUCGAACGGCAGCACAGUAAGAGCUUGCUCUUACGGGUGGCGAGUGGCGGACGGGUGAGGAGUACAUCGGAAUCUACUUUUUCGUGGGGGAUAACGUAGGGAAACUUACGCUAAUACCGCAUACGACCUACGGGUGAAAGCAGGGGAUCUUCGGACCUUGCGCGAUUGAAUGAGCCGAUGUCGGAUUAGCUAGUUGGCGGGGUAAAGGCCCACCAAGGCGACGAUCCGUAGCUGGUCUGAGAGGAUGAUCAGCCACACUGGAACUGAGACACGGUCCAGACUCCUACGGGAGGCAGCAGUGGGGAAUAUUGGACAAUGGGCGCAAGCCUGAUCCAGCCAUACCGCGUGGGUGAAGAAGGCCUUCGGGUUGUAAAGCCCUUUUGUUGGGAAAGAAAAGCAGCAGGUUAAUACCCCGCUGUUCUGACGGUACCCAAAGAAUAAGCACCGGCUAACGUCG
Molecule: ribosomal RNA, 490 nt
Filed under: uncultured bacterium
Lineage: Bacteria
Description: partial 16S ribosomal RNA
Rfam family: Bacterial small subunit ribosomal RNA
Source: RNAcentral